UCCUUGGUGGUCCAGUGGCUAAGGCUAUGCACUCCCAAUGCAGGGGCCCAGGUUCCAUCCCCGGUCAGGGAA
This 72-nucleotide transfer RNA is filed under the name Bos taurus (domestic cattle). It matches the Rfam family "tRNA". Rfam says of the family: Transfer RNA (tRNA) molecules are approximately 80 nucleotides in length. Their secondary structure includes four short double-helical elements and three loops (D, anti-codon, and T loops). The record is from Rfam by way of RNAcentral. RNAcentral also lists the same sequence under 1 other name. Lineage: Eukaryota; Metazoa; Chordata; Mammalia; Artiodactyla; Bovidae.